GCCGGAGUGGCGGAAUUGGCAGACGCGCUGCGUUCAGGGCGCAGUGAGCAAUACGCUCAUCUGGGUUCAAAUCCCAGCUUCGGCA
This 85-nucleotide transfer RNA is filed under the name Chloroflexota bacterium. Its description in RNAcentral is "Chloroflexi bacterium (sediment metagenome) tRNA-Leu". It matches the Rfam family "tRNA". Rfam says of the family: Transfer RNA (tRNA) molecules are approximately 80 nucleotides in length. Their secondary structure includes four short double-helical elements and three loops (D, anti-codon, and T loops). Lineage: Bacteria; Bacillati; Chloroflexota. The record is from RNAcentral.